Molecule: non-coding RNA, 390 nt
Organism: Pocillopora verrucosa
Lineage: Eukaryota; Metazoa; Cnidaria; Anthozoa; Scleractinia; Pocilloporidae
Source: RefSeq, a predicted model, not a curated record
GGCGAAAAUGGCGGAGCAAACAGCAGAUUUCAUAGCGCUUUUGGUGGCAUUUGUGGCGAGACUCCGUUCUCAAUAUGGUAUCAACAUGGUAAAAAGCGUAGCGACUUGGUCAAAAGUGAAUAUUUUGGCCGUUUCUAAAGAUAUGGACCUGAAAACUUGGAAAUGACAAGAGAAACUUAUGAGCAUUAAAGUGUAAUCGAUUUCGAAAUCCGACUUUGCCGUGUUUGAAGUAUAGUAGCAAAGGAGCAGGAUUCCAGUUCAGUCAUUCUGCGGACAACAACUUGGUGUACUUCCAAAUUCUGAAACCCAGCGUUACACAAAGGAUACUUAAGAAUGAUGAAUCUUUUCUAUGCGUUUUAAUAAACUUGAAAUGUCAAAGUUUUGCUCAAA